AAUAAUGACUUGAUGGCAGAUGU
Molecule: non-coding RNA, 23 nt
Filed under: Cricetulus griseus (Chinese hamster)
Lineage: Eukaryota; Metazoa; Chordata; Mammalia; Rodentia; Cricetidae
Source: RNAcentral